AUGUCGAUCUCUAUACAUGCAGCGAUGGCGAUAUGGCCCAACCGCACAUGGCCACCAGCAUACAUCCGUCCGGCCGACAUCACGUCCCCAUCGGCCGACCUCCAUCCACCCACGCGUCACGCAACGAUUCGUCCAACUCAGCACCGCUCCGCCUACAUAAUCCCCACUCGAGCUCAGCACCCGGGGAUAAGAAGGGAAGCACGAAGCAACAAGAAGACGACGAAGAAGAAGCAGCAGCCAACCAAAUCAAGAUACUUCACCAAGAUGGAGCACGCCAAGGAGAAGAUGAAGGACGGCGCGAGCGCGGCCAAGGCGAAGUCGACCAUCACGAAGGCCAAGGUGGCGGAGAAGGCGGAGGCGGCCACGGCGAGGUCGCACGACGAGCGGGAGCUGGCGCACGAGCGCGGCGCCGCCAAGGUGGCCGCCGCCGAGGCGCAGCUGCACCAGGACAAGGCCGCGCACCGCGAGGACGCCAUGUCGCACCACAUCCACAAGCACGGCGGCCACAAGCACGGCCAUAGCCACUGA
RNAcentral lists this ribosomal RNA (528 nucleotides) under Triticum aestivum (bread wheat). RNAcentral describes it as "partial small subunit ribosomal RNA". The record is from RNAcentral. Lineage: Eukaryota; Viridiplantae; Streptophyta; Magnoliopsida; Poales; Poaceae.